GAUGAAGAACGCAGCGAAAUGCGAUACUUGGUGUGAAUUGCAGAAUCCCGUGAACCAUCGAGUCUUUGAACGCAAGUUGCGCCCGAAGCCAUCAGGUUGAGGGCACAUCUGCCUGGGCGUCACAUAUCGUUGCCCAAUGCCUAUUGCAGUGCAAUAGGAAUUUCUAGGGCGAAUGAUGGCUUCCCGUGAGCGUUGUUGCCUCGCGGUUGGUUGAAAAUCGAGUCCUUGGUAGGGUGUGCCAUGGUAGAUGGUGGUCGAGUUAGAACGAUACCGAUCAUGUGCAUGCUCCCCAAAAUAUGGCCUCUAUGACCCACACGCGUCUUUUGACGCUCAUGACGAGACCUCAGGUCAGGCGGGGCUACCCGCUGAAUUUAAGCAUAUCAAUAAGCGGAGGA
Molecule: unclassified non-coding RNA, 395 nt
Filed under: soil metagenome
Description: partial contains 5.8S ribosomal RNA, internal transcribed spacer 2, and large subunit ribosomal RNA
Rfam family: 5.8S ribosomal RNA (bases 1-122)
Source: RNAcentral